GUAAAUGACGGGAUUCUAGGGAAGAAGUACUCAAAUCAAUAGAUAAGGACAGCAGAAGCUCCUUCAUCUUUCCAUCAUCUUUCCUUCAUCUAUCUUGAAGGUAAGGUGUUUUCUUAUCUGGACAAGAUUCCUUUGUAGGUCAGAAGAAAAACAGAAUUCCUUGUUCUGUUUUGUUGUAGUGUAAAUAUCAGUUUAUAGUGGCAGAGAUGCGUAAGGAUACUGGUGAAGUGGCACAACAGAUGACACCUUUCAUGCAGGAGGAAGUGAGGGCAGCAUCAGGAAGGGAUCAAGUAAGAGUUGGGCAAAGUGGGAAAUUCACUCAAAAGCCAUUCAGCAAUGGAACAUUCUCUGCAUACCUGUUGAAAUAAGGAAACUUUUCUAAUUUCAUUUGUUUCAUGAGUUAAUUAGUUGGAGAAAGAAUAGAUUCUAUGAGGGGGAAGUGGGCAGUAAAUGGAGAGAAUAAAGCUUGCUGCUAGGACCAUCUUUUGAAUUUUAUGGGGUGUCUGUAUCUACUUCUUAUUUGUUUGCUCAUUAUCCACUGAAUGAUGCAUGAUAUGUCAGAACUGAUGUGCUCUGGCGCAUGCCCAUCUGCUCAGGUUUUGGCUUGGAAGAUCAUCAAGUUGAAAGCUGAAAUAGCUGAUGAUGUGACUAUAUUACAACUACCACCGAAUUCUGAAGUUGAUGGGCUCCUGACUGCUCUUAAGGAUUGGAUCUCAGAUGAGCACCUGAGCAAACUCCAAAGACAAGAAGAAAGCAAGGACGGUCAGAAGCCUCAGUCUGCUGGAAGAACCCACAUCCAGGAGAAGGUAGAGGGACUGGAAUUUGCUCUGCUUCAUAUGUUUUCAGAUUCACAGAUGCUCACACCCAAUUGAAAAUACUUUAAUGUCUCUGUUGGAUCUUGAAGUUUCAGUGAAUGACUUAUGACAGAUCAUACUAUGUGAUACUGAAAGCCUUUCCUUCCAUCUCUCCAGGGGCACCAAGGCUUGGAAAUCAAUGCGGUGUUCAGGAGUUCUACUUGUACUGCUUUCCUUCAUUCUCUGAAGGGUUUGUAGGCACUGGUGUUGGUCUUGGUGGUUGAGCUCACACGACGAUGCAUCUCUGGUUGCUACUGUCCAACCAAUUCCUGAUUUGGCUCCUAAGCCACUCUUCAAACACAAACCAGUCCAGACCACUGCCAAUCUGCCUGUGCUGCAGUGGUACAGAGCUGAGGCAAUGUGCGACUCCUCUGAAGCUGAUGGACUGCAAAAGAUUUGGACUAUCAAAGCUUUGGGAUGGGAAAUGUUUGGGGGGGUGGAAAUUUUUGGGGUGGGAAAUGAAAUGGAAGCUAUUUGGGGGGGGGGGGGGGGGGAGGAAGGGGAGCAGGG
This 1364-nucleotide long non-coding RNA is filed under the name Coturnix japonica (Japanese quail). RNAcentral describes it as "lncRNA (ENSCJPG00005017976.1)". Lineage: Eukaryota; Metazoa; Chordata; Aves; Galliformes; Phasianidae. The record is from RNAcentral.